GGUCUAAAACUUUUUCUUUCUUUUCUUUGCAGCCUGGGGAUGAAGCCCACGCUGCCCACAGGCUGGGUGGGUGCUCUCCCAUCAACCCUGAGCCCAAGUUCUUUGGAAGCAGACAGGGUGGGUAAUUUGGGAAGCACAUUUCGAUUUCAAGAUGGAUUGUAAUCAUGCAUAUGUUUGGAGAGCUUCGUUUUGCAUUUCAACGUGGAUUAAAGAGAAAAGCUGGUUACCACGGAGCGUGCUCCAGUCCUGUGCUGCUGGCUCAGCCCACAGCUAUUUGCUGAAUGCCUACUAUGUGCGCCACGAGGGGAUAGAGGUGCACUGUCACUGGAGCCUGCUGGGCCCCCAGGCUGGCGAGGGACGUCCCUGUGGCUAAAGCAGCCUGCGGCGGGGGGGCCUGGGAGGAAGUGACUCGGCAGCUGCCUGAGCACAGCUCAUGGCCCAUGGGCCGGAAUCUUCUCUCUCCUCCCAGGAAGAGGUUGUGGGAGCGUAGUCAUGAGCCUGGAUUUGAGCCCUGGCCCUGCCACUUCCUCACCAUGUGGACUUUGGCAACUUCCUUACCGUUCUCUGAACUUCAGCUUCUUGGGAAACCAGGGCUACGUGUCACAGCCACUUCCUAGGGAUGUUGUGUGGAGGAAAGGGCACUGCGGGCCUGGUGUUCUGCACGCAGCCGGCACACUGUGCACACCUGUGUGGACACCUGCUGUUGUCACGACUCGACUCUCCCUUCCUGUGAGCUCCUGCUGCGGCCCCUUGCAGGGCUUCCAGAGUUACUGGGCUGCUGGCAGCCCCUCCUGCCACCUGGGGCCUUUGUGGCCGCCUGGCCCCUCGGAGCUGCAGGGCUGGGUUCUCCCACAGGCAGACGUUGAGGGGAAAAUAUUCCUCAUCCCUGUUCGGGGCUUUCCUGCUCCCUGCCCUCUGCCCCUCCUGCCCCCUGGAGGUCUCCUGUCAGCAGGGGCCCAGCCAUCUCUCCAGGGGACCUUCUCAGGUGUCCUCCCGGCCCCUGUCAGUGCUUCUUCUUCCCUCUGUGGUCCCCCUCAGUCAGGCUGAAAAGCACCCCGGGCAGACUGGCCCUUCCUGACCCUGUGCCUGGUGCAGGUGGGAGUUCCUGCCCUGCUGUCCCUGCCAGAGCUGGGGUGUGGAUGGCUGGAGACUGGCAGUGGUCACAGCAGGGUGUGGUGGGAGUGGCCGUGAGGCACCAGGACAAGCCUGAGGUCUCACACCAGGGUGGAGCAGCUGCUUCCACUGCCCACGAGUCCUGGGCCAACUCUGCACGGGGACCGGGAGGGGGACCGUGCCGCGUGCACACAGCUGGUGUUGGCUCUGCUCCCUGGUUUGCUUCUGUACAGGAGCAGUGACGGCUGUGCUUACGGUGCUGACGGGAUUGGUUCAGUUUUGCACACCCCCAGGCAGGAGGGACGAGCCCCCGGCUUGGCUUGCUCCCCGAGGCACGGCUUCUCGCCAUGUACAAGCAGGGCUUGUUUCCCUGCUGGCCUCAGCUGGUGGGGCCAAAGAGGGAGGGACACACGCUGAGGUGUCCUGGAGCUCACGGUGGGGAAGCUGG
RNAcentral lists this long non-coding RNA (1561 nucleotides) under Marmota monax (woodchuck). The record is from RNAcentral. Lineage: Eukaryota; Metazoa; Chordata; Mammalia; Rodentia; Sciuridae.